AUAUCAUCUCUCCAGCCAAAGUAUGACAUUAUUGCUGCAGUAGUGAGGAUUAGAGCAGAGGUGCUGGAAUGGAACGGGAAUGUAUCUGGGAGAAGGAAACCUCUGGCUGCCUUCAUAUGAAUUCAGAAGCACAGAUUAGUAAUACGACCAUGUAGUUGAGAUGCAGCUACACAUGCUCAGUUUCAUCUUCCGACUGCCACCAGCACUAUCUUCUAUUAGAAGCUGUAAGCGUUACAGGGAGAGAGCUGCAGCAGAAAGGACAUGCCCC
Bufo gargarizans (Asiatic toad) is the source of this 268-nucleotide long non-coding RNA. RefSeq lists it as uncharacterized. The record is from RefSeq and is a predicted model, not a curated record. The transcript is spliced from 3 exons. Lineage: Eukaryota; Metazoa; Chordata; Amphibia; Anura; Bufonidae.